Molecule: long non-coding RNA, 511 nt
Organism: Betta splendens (Siamese fighting fish)
Lineage: Eukaryota; Metazoa; Chordata; Actinopteri; Anabantiformes; Osphronemidae
Exons: 3
Source: RefSeq, a predicted model, not a curated record
GCUUGUCCAUGUAUAUGUGUGAUGUGCUUGUGUGUAUCUGCCAGACUGUAAUGGCGCCAGGCCCUCUAGCUACAGGCUCCAAUCCAAAUGAGAUCUGAGGAACUGUAUGUCAAGUCAGCUAUUCAUCAAACAUAACAGCAGUAAGAUGCAAGAUUGAAUGGAUAUUCUACAGGGGGAAGCUGGCGUAACGGCUGCGAGGCAACUGGCAGUUUGAAAUGACAUUCACGGCGGUGCAGCGGAUAUUGUGCAGUCUUUAAUGUAAAUGGAACAAGCUUCAUAUAGCAGGAGUGUUCCGCACACAGCUUUCACAUCUGCUGUCACUGAAAGCAACCCGUGCGGCAUCACCGGUCAAUCUGGAAACGCAUUCAUUGGUUCGGACGUGUGUGAACUCGGGAGGAGACGACAGCAGAGACAUCAAUAGAGUUGAUGCAUUUAUUUGAUAAUGCACGUACCUUGAACAACAUCUAUGAACUGCAGUUUCUUUCUUGAUUACCCAUGAUUAUUAUGGAAG